AAGACUGUUCAAAACCAUGUAGUCUUGGUUGCUUAGACAACACUUGCUUUUCUACUGAUGGAAGUUGUGAUUGCACGGAGUAUUACACAGGAGCUAAAUGUGACGUGUGUGUAGACGGGCGGUACGGUGACGGUUGUAUGAAUACAUCUGAGCAGAAUCAUCUGGACGAAUUAGACACCUUUCAAACUGGUGCACUUACCGGAGGAAUUGUUGGUGGUGUAGUAGUGCUAAUGGGUGCUGUCGCUUUAAUUGUUUGGGUUAAACGAAGAUAUGCUCGAGUCCAACUUUCUUUCUUUUUUGUUGUUGAAAUUAUGGU
Molecule: long non-coding RNA, 316 nt
Organism: Mya arenaria
Lineage: Eukaryota; Metazoa; Mollusca; Bivalvia; Myida; Myidae
Exons: 3
Source: RefSeq, a predicted model, not a curated record